RNAcentral lists this transfer RNA (73 nucleotides) under Candidatus Propionivibrio aalborgensis. It matches the Rfam family "tRNA". From Rfam's summary of the family: Transfer RNA (tRNA) molecules are approximately 80 nucleotides in length. Their secondary structure includes four short double-helical elements and three loops (D, anti-codon, and T loops). Further hydrogen bonds mediate the characteristic L-shaped molecular structure. tRNAs have two regions of fundamental functional importance: the anti-codon, which is responsible for specific mRNA codon recognition, and the 3' end, to which the tRNAs corresponding amino acid is attached (by aminoacyl-tRNA synthetases). tRNAs cope with the degeneracy of the genetic code in two manners: having more than one tRNA (with a specific anti-codon) for a particular amino acid; and 'wobble' base-pairing, i.e. permitting non-standard base-pairing at the 3rd anti-codon position. The record is from Rfam by way of RNAcentral. Lineage: Bacteria; Pseudomonadati; Pseudomonadota; Betaproteobacteria; Rhodocyclales; Rhodocyclaceae.
GCCGCUGUAGCUCAGUUGGUAGAGCAGCGCAUUCGUAAUGCGAAGGUCGGCAGUUCGACUCCGCCCAGCGGCA